This 2696-nucleotide long non-coding RNA is filed under the name Toxoplasma gondii VEG. The record is from RNAcentral. Lineage: Eukaryota; Apicomplexa; Conoidasida; Eucoccidiorida; Sarcocystidae.
UGGACAUCUCCGCAUAGACGAGUAAGUGUUUCGAAUACCUGGUAUUUCUUGACUUCGAUAGGCGGUUGUCCAGGGCCGAAGGACUUGGUGGCAACUGCACUUCCUUCUUCGACGAUGUAGAAGACAUCUCCGAGUUCUCCCUGUCGGACGAUGUACGCUCCAUCGGUGAACAUUUCCGUGCGCAGAGCGUCGGCGACUUUCCCGCGUUCGUACGCGUCCAUUCCGUCGAGGAUGUGGACGCUCUUCAGGAAAGAGUCGUACAUGGAUCGCCGCUUCGUCGCCGCGUCUUUGACGAUGGCGUUGAACGUGUCUCGACCAAGCUCCCACAAAUCGCAUGCACUCACGCUGGUCACUGUCGCAGCUCGAGGCGCGUUGUAGAGGAGCGCCAGUUCGCCGAACGCGUCUCCUGGUCCGACGACCUUCACCACUCUCUCUUCUCCGUCGAUCAGCUUCGAACAGUUCAACUCGCCGCUCUGGACGAUGUACAGACACUCGCCGUCGUCGCCUUCGCGAAUUAAGCACGUGCUCGCUUCGAUUUUCUUCUCCUGCAUUGCCAGAAUCACCGUGUUCAGAUCCUUCUCGUCCAGGCUGUUGAACAGGAACGACUGGCGCAGAAUGCGCUGCACAGCCGCAGGCACAUACCGGAGAAGUCCACUGAAAAAGUCUUUCGCGCAAAACACACCGCAGAGCACAUUUCUCGAUUAUCAGCGAAGGGAACACGCUAGUGAGGAAAGCGGCGUCAAACCGCUUCCUUCCGCGACUCCGAGUGUUUCUUUCGCUCUUCCCACCUCAAGUUGCUCCUUCUGGCCUUCAUCCUUCUCAUAGACGGGUGCAACAAAGUUUUUCUUCUUGUUCCACUCGCCAUACACCUCCGCGGAGACCGAGCACCGCAUUUUAUUCAGGUUCUUGAAUCUGGACAUCACCGCUUCGUCGUCGUCAAAGACGUCGUCGUCGUGCUCGUCGUCAGAGUCGUCCGACUCGUGCGUCUCUGCGGGGCUCCCGUCGACGCCGUUUUUCUGCAGAUUUUUCAGUUGCUCGCGCAACAGGCCGAUCUCGACUUUCAACUCCUCAGCUUCAUUCUUCCCGCCUGCCGCGCCUGAGACAGAAAUGAAGGAAAGAGAAGCGCAAAGUAUAUGCGCAGGACAGAAAGGAAGUCUAAGUAACGGUCAUGGAGGCGUCAAGUGGGAUUGACAGACGCAGGAGCUGAGUGGCUGACCGCGCCUGGAGUCCCUGGGAGAUGGAUGAGGGAAGGAGAUCACGUGGAUGUCGAAACGACAAGGAACAAGGAACCUCAACAGAGCGUUUCUGCAUAGAGAUCAUGCAUUUGUGUGUGUCAGAUGCAACACACAUCUACACAUUCUGCACAGAUGCUUCUUAGUGGGUGGGUCAUGGCGGGAUUCAAUGCAUUAUCCGUUCCAAGUGGACUGUCAAGUCCCGACAAAGGGCCAGGCUCGCUCCCAGUUGUUAUGGAUCUGUUCAGAGAUGUUUGUUUGUUUCAUCACACACGGGAUUCUCCUGGGUUGAGAGAUUUCUUGGAAGAGUUUGGUGCCUCCGUUGUCUUUGCCUUCUGCUUGUUUGGUGUAUCUUCGCGGAACCAUGCGGUCAUUUGAACAUUUCGUCAGCAAAAAUGCAGAAAACGUGAGUCGCUGCCAAAAUACGUGUCUGUGUAUGUGUGUGUGUGUGUGGGCGACACAAGAAGACUGUUCGUUGCAACACAUAUUGCGUGUUACCGCAUAGGGAGAGGUGGGACCUGAGAGAAAGAAUCUAUUGUAGGUGGUGGAAAACGAGUUCAUACUCUCGAACCAGCAAUGUUGCUUUGAGUCUUCGUACCUGCAACCGGAUCGGGGAUUCCAGCGCGCUGACAAAGCCGAGAAAUCAUGAAGGUGACUGGGUCAUCAGGGUGUUCGAGGAGAACCUCGACGACGAGCCCCUCAAGAACGGGGUUCAACUUGGUGUUGAUGUACUCUUGGUACACUGCGGUUGCACCGGCCAUUUUGGAGGUGGAGAAGGGAGCAGUUGCUUCCAGGGAAAGGGAUGAAAACGUCAAAUGAUGUCGCUACAGUGACUCACCAGCCCUGUCACUUCGCCGACUGGGUUGAACAGAUUCUAAAACAGAAUAACCUCCCGCUAGUCGACGCCGUACAGUCGCUUUGACGGCAGCUUCCCACACAUGCGCAUACACAUGUGGAUGAAAAAGUCGAAGGCCCCUGCUGGCAUCAACGUGUAUGGAUCCAAUAUGGAAAGAGGUAUGCGAGCAUCUGUGUAUCUUUUUUCUGCGGGUGAGGUCGUUGUCGACGAUGCGCCUGGUGCAGCCGUUUCCCGUGUUCGGUGUUUGCUUGGAACUAUGAAGCGGAAAAUGUUGCCUCACGACAGAGAGAGAGAUCUAGUUUCUCCAGAGGAGCUCUUUCUCCCGGCGUUUUGGUGUGACUGUCCCGGUCUUUCUUUUCCUUUCUCGAUUUCCGCCCUCUGUGUCAAUAUACGCAGCGCGUGUUCCCAAAAGAUUCAGAACCGGGAUGCGAGACGAUGAGAAUCGUCUUGUCGACCUAGCGUUCGUGAUUUUUCGCAUAAAAAAGAAAGCCCGUGCAUCUUGCGGUGGAGCGCCAUGGAAAAGGUUAGGCGUUUCCAGGUUUUUCUCUGAAUCGCCCGCCGACUCGAAACAAGCAACUCAGAUGCAAGUGUGGGCACGUGGGGCUAGC